UACGAAGGGGGCUAGCGUUGCUCGGAAUCACUGGGCGUAAAGCGCGCGUAGGCGGCUUUGCAAGUCGGGGGUGAAAGCCCGAGGCUCAACCUCGGAACUGCCUUCGAUACUGCAAAUCUCGAGUCCGAGAGAGGUGAGUGGAAUUCCUAGUGUAGAGGUGAAAUUCGUAGAUAUUAGGAAGAACACCAGUGGCGAAGGCGGCUCACUGGCUCGGUACUGACGCUGAGGCGCGAAAGCGUGGGGAGCAAACAGG
This 253-nucleotide ribosomal RNA is filed under the name uncultured bacterium. RNAcentral describes it as "partial 16S ribosomal RNA". It matches the Rfam family "Bacterial small subunit ribosomal RNA", at positions 524 to 776 of the family's 1533-position model. The record is from RNAcentral.